Molecule: ribosomal RNA, 480 nt
Filed under: uncultured soil bacterium
Lineage: Bacteria
Description: bacterial SSU rRNA
Rfam family: Bacterial small subunit ribosomal RNA
Source: RNAcentral
AGAUUGAACGCUGGCGGCAUGCCUAACACAUGCAAGUCGAACGGGAGUAGCAAUACUCUAGUGGCGGACGGGUGAGGAAUACGUAGGAAUUUGCCCUUAAGUGGGGGAUAACCCGGGGAAACCCGGAUUAAUACCGCAUGACCUCGAAAGAGCAAAGUGGGGGAUCGCAAGACCUCACGCUUUUGGAGAAGCCUACGUCGGAUUAGCUAGUUGGUGAGGUAAUGGCUCACCAAGGCGACGAUCCGUAACUGGUCUGAGAGGAUGAUCAGUCACACCGGAACUGAGACACGGUCCGGACUCCUACGGGAGGCAGCAGUGGGGAAUAGUUGGACAAGUGGGCGCAAGCCUGAUCCAGCAAUGCCGCGUGUGUGAAGAAGGCCGUUCGGUUGUAAAGCUAACGUUUAAGUUAGGGAAGAAAAACUCGACGUACUAACACAGUGUAGUCGUUGACGGUACCGACAGAAUAAGACACCGACUAAC